This 450-nucleotide ribosomal RNA is filed under the name uncultured bacterium. Its description in RNAcentral is "partial 16S ribosomal RNA". It matches the Rfam family "Bacterial small subunit ribosomal RNA", at positions 354 to 796 of the family's 1533-position model. The record is from RNAcentral.
GUGGGGAAUCUUCCACAAUGGACGAAAGUCUGAUGGAGCAACGCCGCGUGAGUGAAGAAGGGUUUCGGCUCGUAAAGCUCUGUUGUCGGGGACGAAUGAGCAGUAUUUGAAUAAAGUAGUGCAAUGACGGUACCUGACGAGGAAGCCACGGCUAACUACGUGCCAGCAGCCGCGGUAAUACGUAGGUGGCAAGCGUUGUCCGGAAUUAUUGGGCGUAAAGCGAGCGCAGGCGGGAAGGUAUGUCGGUCUUAAAAGUGCGGGGCUCAACCCCGUGAUGGGAUCGAAACUAUCUUUCUUGAGUGCAGGAGAGGAAAGUGGAAUUCCUAGUGUAGCGGUGAAAUGCGUAGAUAUUAGGAGGAACACCAGUGGCGAAGGCGACUUUCUGGACUGUAACUGACGCUGAGGCUCGAAAGCCAGGGGAGCGAACGGGAUUAGAUACCCCGGUAGUCC